ACAUAACUAGAAUUGCCAUUGCAAGCAAUAGCGGAUGUCACCCUGGUCCACCAAUUGCCUCUAAAUAGUUGCCAUGGUAACGGCAGCCAUUUUGGAAAUUCCAAAGUUGAAUGCCGCAUCUAGAUUAAUAUGUUAACAUUUCUGUAACGUUUCAUACAUUUUUGAAGAAUUUUCAAAAUUUUGUUUUUUUUGAACAGUUUCCAUGGCAACAUUUGAAAAUUCCAAAGUCAUACUGCUGCUUCAUAUUGUGCUCCCCAUAAUAUUAUACCAUUAUAUAACAUUUAAUGGCCGUAGAUUUACUUUAACACUAAUGUUCUAGAAUGUUCCAUUACAUUUUUACAUUCUUUCUGUUUCCAUAACAACGGCAGCCAUGUUGGAUAUGCCAACCCUCGACUGCACUUCUGCACAUGGUCAUUAACAUUUUGGUAUAGUUCCAUAACAAUUGGUCCAUCCUAUUCUUAGAAAUAGUC
Molecule: long non-coding RNA, 470 nt
Filed under: Mytilus galloprovincialis (Mediterranean mussel)
Lineage: Eukaryota; Metazoa; Mollusca; Bivalvia; Mytilida; Mytilidae
Source: RNAcentral